Myxocyprinus asiaticus (Chinese sucker) is the source of this 2290-nucleotide long non-coding RNA. RefSeq lists it as uncharacterized. NCBI's taxonomy places the organism in Eukaryota, Metazoa, Chordata, Actinopteri, Cypriniformes, Catostomidae. The record is from RefSeq and is a predicted model, not a curated record. The transcript has 4 exons.
UUUCACUGAACGGCUCUUAACAUAGUGUAUAUAUUUGACUUAAAUGCUCACGUGGAAGCGGCAGUGGAAGUGGUAGCCCUUGUGUAAAGCCCUCCUCGUGUGAAGACCUACUUGUGUAAAGACCAGCGAGUCUACCUGUGUGAGUCCACCGAGCAAGGACAUGACAAGGCGCCACUCAACAUAGCACUUAAGUAUCUUUUAAUUUUAUCUCUUUUGCUAUUUUCCUUGUACAUACUAACAUGUCUACUUCACAAAUAACAUAUGCCUUCAAGCACAUCCCUGUUAUCUGUUACAGACCACUUACACAAUAUAGAUGCAAGACCAAACGCAACCCACACAACCUACGGCCACUUUGCACUUCAGCACCUGCUCCGCUCUCUUUCUCAAUGGGACUCUGGAACUGCCAGUCAGCUGUAAAUAAAGCUGACUUCAUUCAAGCCUUUGCCACACACACAGUCCACCCUCAGCAUCCUGGCACUGACAGAAACAUGGAUAUGUCCAGAGGAUACAGCAACACCUGCUGCUCUCUUCAACAACUUCUUCUCUCACAACCCUCGACACACCAGUAGGGGUGGGGGAACAGGUCAGCUGACAAACUUUCUCGAGGAGUUGCAUGUCCUGCUGUCCUCCUUCCCGGAGGAUGGUAGGCCACUUGUGGUUCUUGGUGAUUUCAACAUACACCACGACAAGCUCCAGGCCACUGAAUUGAAUACUCUUCUGGCCUCAUUUGACUUGGAAAGACUACACACCACAGCCACUCACAGAUCAGGCAACGAGCUGGACCUCAUUUUUACACGCCAGCACGUGCUACACCACCCAGCCCCUGGCUCUCGGACGUCCAUAGUGAACAUUGGACUGACCUCAGGGCAGCUGAGAGGAGAUGGGGGAAAUCUAAAGGUCCAGCAGAUCUAGAACAAGCUGCUGGAUGACAAUCAGUCAGGCUUCAAAAGUGGACACUCCACCGAGACUGCCCUAACCCUAACUCCUUGUCUUUCCAGCCAACCCUGCUGUUGAACACAACAUCAAUGUGCAGCUGGGUGCAACUACAGUAACACCUUCCAAAACGGUGCGAAAUCUAGGGGUAACCAGCGAUAAACUACAUUUCACAGACCACAUCUCAAAGACCACAAGAUCAUGUAGAUUUACACUCUAUAAUAUCAGGAAGAUAAGACCCUUCCUCUCUGAACAUGCCACACAACUUCUUGUUCAGUCACUUGUCAUAACUAGACUAGACUACUGUAACGCUCUCUUAGCACGUCUCCCUGCAAGUGCAAUUAGACCCCUGCAAAUGAUCCAGAAUGCAGAAGCACGUCUGGUCUUUUAUCAACCAAAGGGAGCGCAUGUUACACCACUCAUUGUCUCUCUUCACUGGCUGCUGGUUAAUGCACGUAUCAAAUUCAAGGCUCUGAUGCUGGCAUACAGAACAGUCACUGGGUCUGCUCCAGCAUACCUAAAAUCAUUUCUGCAGAGCUACGCACCCACUAGAAGCCUGUGGUCGGCUAAGGAACGUUGCCUUGUUGUACCAACACAAAGAGGCACCAAUACUUUCCCGAACUUUCGGCUUCAUCAUACCACGUUGGUGGAAUGACCUUCCCAACUCCAUCUGUGAAGCUGACUCACUUUCUGUCUUUAAAAAAUUACUAAAAACACAUCUUUUCCAUGAGCAUUUAACCAGUCACUAAUUAUAAAAAAAUAAAAAAAUAAAAAUUCUUGUUGCACUUUAAUCUGUUUUGAAUACUAUUCUGAUGCUAGUGAAACUUUGUAAUAUGGCACUUUUUCAUACCACUGUCUCCUUAAGAUGAUUUGCUCAUGUUUUUCCUCUUUUGUAAGUCGCUUUGGAUAAAAGCGUCUGCCAAAUGAAUAAAUGUAAAUGUAAGACCACAUCAGACACUUCAUUAGGACCAUAGUGUUCAUAAUAGUAAAUUACUCUAAUCCUGUUCCUUCUCAUUUAUAUUGUAAGAAAGGGAGAUAGAGCCCCUCCUUCUGCUUGAAGAGCCAAACACAGUCUAAUGAAUUAUUCAGAUAACACCCUACAGAUGGAAGACUUAAACCAGGGAAAAUCCCACCAAUAAAUAAAUAUAAAACUCAGCGCACCUGACUCAAGGCUAAAUCAACCAGAAAGAGAGAGUUCAGCAGAAACAGAUCUACUGCAGGUGUUACGGGGGAGGACAAUUACUCAUCAGCUGCAGCAAAAUACAUGUCUGAGCUGCACAUUGUCAAAAACCAAUCACUGCCUUGAUCAACAUAAUCAAGGGGUAUUAAUAAACAUGUUACAGUAUUUCUUUUUUGU